Molecule: small nuclear RNA, 196 nt
Filed under: Setaria italica (foxtail millet)
Lineage: Eukaryota; Viridiplantae; Streptophyta; Magnoliopsida; Poales; Poaceae
Description: snRNA U2
Rfam family: U2 spliceosomal RNA
About the family: U2 is a small nuclear RNA (snRNA) component of the spliceosome (involved in pre-mRNA splicing).
Source: Rfam by way of RNAcentral
AUACCUUUCUCGGCCUUUUGGCUAAGAUCAAGUGUAGUAUCUGUUCUUAUCAGUUUAAUAUCUGAUAUGUGGGACACGUGCCCACAAUGAUAUUAAAUUUAUUUUUUAUGGGGGAGGACUCGUAAUGGUAGCUUGCUACUAGGAUUCUCAUGCGUCGUCUUAGCGUUGCACUAUUGCUUGGCUUGGCGUGCCCCAA